UACGUAGGGUGCGAGCGUUGUCCGGAAUUAUUGGGCGUAAAGGGCUCGUAGGCGGUUUGUCGCGUCGGGAGUGAAAACGCCGUGCUUAACACGGCGCUUGCUUUCGAUACGGGCAGACUAGAGGUAUGCAGGGGAGAACGGAAUUCCUGGUGUAGCGGUGAAAUGCGUAGAUAUCAAGAGGAACACCUGAGGUGAAGGCGGCUCUCUGGGACGGUACUGACGCUGAGACGCGAAAGCGUGGGGAGCGAACAGG
RNAcentral lists this ribosomal RNA (253 nucleotides) under uncultured bacterium. Its description in RNAcentral is "partial 16S ribosomal RNA". It matches the Rfam family "Bacterial small subunit ribosomal RNA", at positions 524 to 776 of the family's 1533-position model. The record is from RNAcentral.